Molecule: non-coding RNA, 145 nt
Organism: Gossypium raimondii (Peruvian cotton)
Lineage: Eukaryota; Viridiplantae; Streptophyta; Magnoliopsida; Malvales; Malvaceae
Source: Rfam
UGUUAAAAAUUUCAUCUAUUUUUAUUGUUAAAAACUAGUGUGGUUAACAUAAUAACUAGACAAUUACACUUGGCACGCCACAUGUACCUCAUGCUGACAUACAAAAACUUAUUUUUAAUAGUAAAAAUGGAUGAAAAUUUUAGCA